Pelobates cultripes (western spadefoot toad) is the source of this 2511-nucleotide non-coding RNA. The record is from the annotation of a GenBank genome assembly. Lineage: Eukaryota; Metazoa; Chordata; Amphibia; Anura; Pelobatidae.
GGAAACAUCAACUCAAGAUGAACACUUCCAUCGCAAUCCUGCUCAUUCUCUCACUCGAGUUUACUGGUGAGUUUUCUGUGUCUGGUGAUCGUUUAGAAAGAUUGUAUCGUUCACUGAAUGGUCAUCAUGUAUUUAUAUUGUGUAGUCUAUAGCUAAGUGUAAUUCAAAUGUAAUAUGAAGAUCUCUUUACAGAACCUUCAAUGUCAGCCUUCGUAUUGUUGGAUAUAUAGUGGGGUUUCAGCAAAGAUACUUAAAUAUGUCUCUUGUGUUACUCAUCAUGGCAGGGACAUGAGAUAAAUGUAUGAAUUAAAGUCCUACUGGAGGUAUUCAGUGUCCUUUAUAAUUAUACCGGUAUUUUACAUGUCAGAGGUAUUUCGAUAUAUUCCAUCAAUACAAGUUCCUGAGGAACGAGGUAGAUGAGAUAUAUUCAGGUAGUUUAAUAGCAAUAAACAUUGAGUAGCUACAACAUUAAACCCACUGACAGGUAAAGUGUAUAACAUUGAUUAUAUCGUUACAAUGUCACUCGUCAUGGGUGGGAUAUAUUAGGCAGCAGGUGAACAGUCAGUUCUUAAAAUAUUUGUGUUUGAAGCAAGUAAAAUAGGCAAUUGAAAAGAUCAAAAGACUUUGUCAAGGGUCAAAUAUUUUCCCAGAUCUCAAUCCAAUUGCAGAAUUUAAAGGAUUUGCUGCUGUUUUGGUCCCACUUACCACAGGACAUGUAGAGCCCAUGUCUUGAUGUCAGGGGUAUAACUAGAGCAUUUGGCACCAGGGGCAGAUCGUGUGUUUGGCACCCUCCACCCCCCUCAAAUGUAAAAAACACCCGCUGCUUCAAAGUGUAUGCCUGGAGAUAUUCUGGAGAUAAACUGGAGGUAAUCUGAAGGUAAUCUGAGGUCAGGGCUGGUACAAGGAUUUCUGCCGUCGUAGGCAAACAAAAAUUUGCUGCCCCCAAUAUGCUCUGCCCACAAUGUGACAUCACAAUGCCCGCCCAUAUGUCCACAUACAUGGCCCACCCAUGAGUUCGCUCACAGGGAGUGGAGUUUGUGUGUAGGGGAUGUGUUAUGUGUUAUUGUAGAGGAUGCAAUGUGUGCGUGUUCUUAUGGAAUGUAGUGUAUAGGGAUACCAGUUUGUGUAACGGAUGCAGUGCGUGUUUGUAUGUAAGUAAUGCAUUGUGUGUUUCUGUGUGUGUGUGUGUGUGUGUAAGGGAUGCAUUGUGUGAAUCUGUGUUUGUAUAUGUAAGGGAUGCAAAAUGUGUUUCUGUGUAUGUAAUGUAAUGCAGUGUGUGUAAGAGAUGCAUUGUGUUUCUGUGUGUAAGGAAGCAGUGUGUGUGUGCGUCUGUGUGCGUGCGUAAGGGAUGCAUUGUAUGUUUUUGUAUGUAAGGGAUGCAGUGUGUGUAAUGGAUGCAUUGUGUGCUUUUGUGUAUGUGUGCAAGGGCUGCAUUGUGUGUGUAAUGGAUGCAUUGUGUGCUUGUGUGUAUGUGUGCAAGGGCUGCAUUGUGUGUGUGUGUGUAAUGGAUGUAUUGUGUGUUUCUGUGUGAGUGUAGGAUGCAUUGUAUAUUUCGGUGUGUCUGUGUUUGUGUAGGGAUGCAUUGUGUACGUGUGUAAUGUAGAAGAGUGGGCCGGUUGGGGAGGAUAGGGACUGAAAAGGGAGCAGCUAUUUAUUUUUAUUAUAUUUAUUUUGUUAAUAUAAUUUUUUUGUUUUUUUUCUUUAUGUUUUGUGUCUUACACUCCCCUUGUGUAUCUCUUACAAACUCCUUGUGUCUCUUAUCACCCCCUCUUUGUAUGUCUCCUACAUCCUCCCAACCCCUUUUUAUGUCUUACUUCCCCCCAGCUCCUCUGUCUUACUCUUCCCAACCCCUUUGUGUGUCCCCGUCCCCCCCCAAGCUUCUGUUUCCUGUACCCAGCCGGACUGGAAGAAAGUAAUAAUAUAUAUAAAUUAGAGUAUGUAUAAAAUUCUGAAAACUAAUCUAUUGUUUCUUAUCCCAUACAGGAUCAUUAUGUCAAAGUAACACAACUUCAGGUAAGCUAUAUAUAACAUAAUACCUAGCGCACUCACUCACUAAACAGCAAUUUCAAGUAUCACAGAUUGUAAUAGCUCAUUUUAAAAACACCUCACCUAGGUAACAUUAAUUAGUUACUGUAUGUGACCAUGUAUAAGCCUGCCACAACGUCAAUGUACCCCAUUCUUGGCAGGUCCUACUCUAGCAGCCUAAUGUCUACUAAUGAGACCGAUACACUUACUUGGGAAAUUCUUCCUCCUUGGACUCUCUGCAGGUCAAGGCUAAAUAGGAUCCUGGAAUGAGGCACCUGUGACACGGAGAGGUGCAAACCCUGGGAGUCGGCCUGGACUCCCAAAUAUAUUAAUACAAACGAGAGGCUGCACUCACCUGAACAUGCAGACAUUAUAGGAUGCUGCUGGGGCCAAUUCAUACAACAAACAUCCAACGCACUCAGUCACUAAACGAUAAUUUUAACGCUCACAACAUAUAAUACAUUUUUUUCAAACCACUAACCUAGG